AGAGUUUGAUCAUGGCUCAGAGCGAACGCUGGCGGCGUACUUAACACAUGCAAGUCGUACGAGGAUCGUCGGGUUAGCAAUAAUUCGGCGGUUCGAGUGGCGCACGGGUGAGUAACACGUGGGUAACCCACCCUUGAGACCGGGAUACCCUCUCGAAAGGGAGGCUAAUACUGGAUACGUUCCCUGGGACGCAAGAUCUGGGGAGGAAAGGUGGCGAAAGCUGCCGCUCUUGGAGGGGCUCGCGGCCUAUCAGCUAGUUGGUGAGGUAACGGCUCACCAAGGCUAUGACGGGUAGCUGGUCUGAGAGGACGACCAGCCACACGGGAACUGAGACACGGUCCCGACUCCUACGGGAGGCAGCAGUGGGGAAUUUUCCGCAAUGGGCGAAAGCCUGACGGAGUGACGCCGCGUGGGGGACGAAGGCCUUCGGGUCGUAAACCCCUGUCAGAGGGAAAGAAGGGUGUCGGCGUGAAUAGCGCCGGCAUUUGACGGUACCUUCAGAGGAAGCCCCGGCCAACUCUGUGCCAGCAGCCGCGGUAAGACAGAGGGGGCAAGCGUUGCUCGGAAUCACUGGGCGUAAAGGGCGCGUAGGCGGGAUGGCAAGUCGGUCGUGAAAUCCUUCGGCUCAACCGAAGAACGUCGGCCGAUACUGCCGUUCUUGAGGGAUGCAGAGGAGAUUGGAAUUCCCGGUGUAGCGGUGAAAUGUGUAGAGAUCGGGAGGAACACCGGUGGCGAAGGCGGGUCUCUGGGCAUCUCCUGACGCUGAGGCGCGAAAGCGUGGGGAGCAAACGGGAUUAGAUACCCCCGUAGUCC
Molecule: ribosomal RNA, 813 nt
Filed under: uncultured bacterium
Lineage: Bacteria
Description: bacterial SSU rRNA
Rfam family: Bacterial small subunit ribosomal RNA
Source: RNAcentral